CUGCAGCCCGAGUGGUGAUCGAUUUUAUUGAGCCUAAAGCGUCCGUAGCCGGACUAGUAAACCCUUGGGUAAAUUGGGCAGCUUAACUGUCCAAAUUCCGAGGGGACUGCUAGUCUUGGGACCGGGAGAGGUCAGAGGUACUCAAGGGGUAGGGGCUAAAUCCUGUAAUCCUUUGGGGACCACCAGUGGUGAAGGCGUCUGACUAGGACGGAUCCGACGGUAAGGGACGAAACCCUGGGGCGCGAACCGGAUUAGAUACCCGAGUAGUCC
Molecule: ribosomal RNA, 270 nt
Filed under: uncultured archaeon
Lineage: Archaea
Description: partial 16S ribosomal RNA
Rfam family: Archaeal small subunit ribosomal RNA
Source: RNAcentral